This 276-nucleotide ribosomal RNA is filed under the name uncultured prokaryote. Its description in RNAcentral is "partial 16S ribosomal RNA". It matches the Rfam family "Bacterial small subunit ribosomal RNA", at positions 524 to 800 of the family's 1533-position model. The record is from RNAcentral.
UACGUAGGGGGCUAGCGUUAUCCGGAAUUACUGGGCGUAAAGGGUGCGUAGGUGGUUUCUUAAGUCAGAGGUGAAAGGCUACGGCUCAACCGUAGUAAGCUUUUGGAACUGUAAGACUUGAGUGCAGGAGAGGAGAGUGGAAUUCCUAGUGUAGCGGUGAAAUGCGUAGAUAUUAGGAGGAACAUCAGUGGCGAAGGCGGCUUACUGGACUGUAACUGACACUGAGGCUCGAAAGCGUGGGGAGCAAACAGGAUUAGAUACCCGUGUAGUCCCUGA